UGGGGAAUAUUGGACAAUGGGCGAAAGCCUGAUCCAGCCAUGCCGCGUGUGUGAAGAAGGCCUUUUGGUUGUAAAGCACUUUAAGCGAGGAGGAGGCUACCGAGAUUAAUACUCUUGGAUAGUGGACGUUACUCGCAGAAUAAGCACCGGCUAACUCUGUGCCAGCAGCCGCGGUAAUACAGAGGGUGCGAGCGUUAAUCGGAUUUACUGGGCGUAAAGCGUGCGUAGGCGGCUUUUUAAGUCGGAUGUGAAAUCCCUGAGCUUAACUUAGGAAUUGCAUUCGAUACUGGGAAGCUAGAGUAUGGGAGAGGAUGGUAGAAUUCCAGGUGUAGCGGUGAAAUGCGUAGAGAUCUGGAGGAAUACCGAUGGCGAAGGCAGCCAUCUGGCCUAAUACUGACGCUGAGGUACGAAAGCAUGGGGAGCAAACA
RNAcentral lists this ribosomal RNA (428 nucleotides) under Caulobacter vibrioides. RNAcentral describes it as "partial 16S ribosomal RNA". It matches the Rfam family "Bacterial small subunit ribosomal RNA", at positions 355 to 774 of the family's 1533-position model. The record is from RNAcentral. Lineage: Bacteria; Pseudomonadati; Pseudomonadota; Alphaproteobacteria; Caulobacterales; Caulobacteraceae. RNAcentral also lists the same sequence under 2 other names.